UACGUAGGGUGCGAGCGUUGUUCGGAAUUACUGGGCGUAAAGAGUGUGUAGGCGGUGUUCCCAGUCUGUUGUGAAAUCUCCCGGCUUAACUGGGAGGGUGCAGCGGAAACUAGAAUGCUAGAGGGUGGGAGAGGUAAGCGGAAUUCCUGGUGUAGCGGUGAAAUGCGUAGAUAUCAGGAGGAACACCUGUGGUGUAGACAGCUUACUGGACCGCUUCUGACGCUGAGACACGAAAGCGUGGGUAGCAAACAGG
RNAcentral lists this ribosomal RNA (253 nucleotides) under uncultured bacterium. Its description in RNAcentral is "partial 16S ribosomal RNA". It matches the Rfam family "Bacterial small subunit ribosomal RNA", at positions 524 to 776 of the family's 1533-position model. The record is from RNAcentral.